RNAcentral lists this small RNA (589 nucleotides) under chicken gut metagenome. The record is from RNAcentral.
UAAUAAUUCGCUGGCGCAGUAUUCUAGUCAGUUUUCGCCGACCCGAAGGCGGGGGUAAAAUAUCGCCAAAGGGCAUAUCGAUGAAGUUUCUGGUGAUGGCUUUGGUUGCCCAAACCGGGGCUGUUGCUGGGAGUUAAGACUUUCGGGCGCUUCGCAACGGCAUGCGAAACUCGACCCGACUGUCGCGGAGACCCGUAUCGGUGGGCGCCGCGCCUACUGACCGGGGUUAAACCUGCUAUGCGGUGCUCAGGCGCUGUGUGCAGUGUAGCCUGCUUUGAGUGGAUCUUCAGGGACAGAGGAACCACGCCCCGACGCGUCCGGCCGACGCCGACGGGCGAUCGCCUCUCGAAAUGUUGUCUGCAAAAAAAGAUAAGGGCGGACGAAAACUGCCAAGGAAAUCUUCUAGACUGUUCUCACGAGGCAGCUUGGGGAUUAUAGUGUGCUCUAAGUGGCGAUUCGGUUGUGCAGCGGGAGACCCUGCAUCUUGCGGAGUAAUGGGAAACCCCUCGUACGGCGACGACGAGUUUCCGCAGGGGGAAAGCCUACCGAACCUGAUGGCGCAAGGUUUACUCAGGCUGUUGCCAGCGAA